This 326-nucleotide ribosomal RNA is filed under the name Sphenomorphus maculatus. Its description in RNAcentral is "partial 12S ribosomal RNA". It matches the Rfam family "Bacterial small subunit ribosomal RNA", at positions 886 to 1384 of the family's 1533-position model. Lineage: Eukaryota; Metazoa; Chordata; Lepidosauria; Squamata; Scincidae. The record is from RNAcentral.
GCGAAAAGCUAGAAACUCCAAGGACUUGGCGGUGCUUCAAAUCAACCUAGAGGAGCCUGUCCUAUAAUCGAUACUCCACGUUUUACCUUACCCCCUCUAGAAAUCAGCCUAUAUACCGCCGUCGAAAGCCUACCUUAUGAGAGAAACAAAGUAGGCAAAAUAGCUAACAGCUAGUACGUCAGGUCAAGGUGUAGCAUAUGGGGAGGCAGAGAUGGGCUACAUUUUUAAAAAUAACACACGAAUAACAUGCUGAAAUACAUGUCUGAAGGCGGAUUUAGUAGUAAAAUAGACAAGAAAAGUUAUUUUAAACCUGCUCUGAAGCGCGC